This is a long non-coding RNA of Sphaeramia orbicularis (orbiculate cardinalfish), 126 nucleotides long. RefSeq lists it as uncharacterized. The record is from RefSeq and is a predicted model, not a curated record. The transcript has 3 exons. Lineage: Eukaryota; Metazoa; Chordata; Actinopteri; Kurtiformes; Apogonidae.
AGUGGAUUACAGUGACACCUUCAGUCUGAAUUGUUGGUGUUUUUCAGGGACACAGACUCCAUUUCCCAUGAGCACUAGCUCCUACUGUCAUAAGGGCAUAACUCUGUAAAGGUGUGGGUUAGUUUU